GGGACCUGGAGGCGGAGGCGCUCGCUG
Molecule: small RNA, 27 nt
Filed under: Bombyx mori (domestic silkworm)
Lineage: Eukaryota; Metazoa; Arthropoda; Insecta; Lepidoptera; Bombycidae
Description: ovarian small RNA-17489
Source: RNAcentral